UAAGCAGUCAUGCCCCACCACCAAAGGGCAGGGUAAUGGAUCUUGGAUGUGCUUGCAGCCUCCCCUCGAGUGGUUGCUCGUCCCAAACUCAUUAGCCAUGUAUUGUGUUGCCAAUGGGUAGUGGAGUGUAAAUACACCUCCACCAGCAUUGUCAUGAUAAUGUGCGCUUCCAGUCGUCUGCACAAGACAAAUCAAACUUCC
This 201-nucleotide unclassified non-coding RNA is filed under the name uncultured Ascomycota. Its description in RNAcentral is "sequence contains ITS2". The record is from RNAcentral. Lineage: Eukaryota; Fungi; Ascomycota.